This 579-nucleotide ribosomal RNA is filed under the name Trichoderma hamatum. RNAcentral's name for it is "eukaryotic LSU rRNA". The stretch from base 206 to 359 matches the Rfam family "5.8S ribosomal RNA". The record is from RNAcentral. Lineage: Eukaryota; Fungi; Ascomycota; Sordariomycetes; Hypocreales; Hypocreaceae.
UGGAUGAAGCGGAGGGACAUUACCGAGUUUACAACUCCCAAACCCAAUGUGAACGUUACCAAACUGUUGCCUCGGCGGGGUCACGCCCCGGGUGCGUAAAAGCCCCGGAACCAGGCGCCCGCCGGAGGAACCAACCAAACUCUUUCUGUAGUCCCCUCGCGGACGUAUUUCUUACAGCUCUGAGCAAAAAUUCAAAAUGAAUCAAAACUUUCAACAACGGAUCUCUUGGUUCUGGCAUCGAUGAAGAACGCAGCGAAAUGCGAUAAGUAAUGUGAAUUGCAGAAUUCAGUGAAUCAUCGAAUCUUUGAACGCACAUUGCGCCCGCCAGUAUUCUGGCGGGCAUGCCUGUCCGAGCGUCAUUUCAACCCUCGAACCCCUCCGGGGGAUCGGCGUUGGGGAUCGGGACCCCUCACCGGGUGCCGGCCCUGAAAUACAGUGGCGGUCUCGCCGCAGCCUCUCCUGCGCAGUAGUUUGCACAACUCGCACCGGGAGCGCGGCGCGGAACGUCCGUAAAAUACCCAACUUCUGAAAUGUUGACCUCGGAUCAGGUAAGAAUACCCGCUGUACUUAAGCAUAUUU